Molecule: long non-coding RNA, 116 nt
Organism: Etheostoma cragini (Arkansas darter)
Lineage: Eukaryota; Metazoa; Chordata; Actinopteri; Perciformes; Percidae
Exons: 3
Source: RefSeq, a predicted model, not a curated record
ACACAGGGUAUCCACAGCAGUGUGCGGUUGUCUUGCUGCUGCCAAAUGUCUCUGCCACAACCCUGUAUUCUGCACAGGUGGCCGACUUGUACAAUGCUGCCUUUCUCCAUUUAGCC